AAAGCCUGAUGGAGCAACGCCGGGUGUGUGAUGAAGCCUUUCGGGUCGUAAAGCACUGUUGUAUGGGAAGAAAAGUUAAGGUAGGGAAUGACCUUACCCCGACCGGUACCAUACCAGAAAGGGAGGGCUAAAUACGUGCCAGCAGCCGCGGUAAUACGUAUGUCCCGAGCGUUAUCCGGAUUUAUUGGGCGUAAAGCGAGCGCAGACGGUUGGUUAAGUCUGAUGUGAAAGCCCGGAGCUCAACUCCGGAAAGGCAUGGAAACU
Molecule: ribosomal RNA, 264 nt
Filed under: Leuconostoc gasicomitatum
Lineage: Bacteria; Bacillati; Bacillota; Bacilli; Lactobacillales; Lactobacillaceae
Description: Leuconostoc gelidum subsp. gasicomitatum partial 16S ribosomal RNA
Rfam family: Bacterial small subunit ribosomal RNA
Source: RNAcentral